AGACGUCUACAUUAGAUACCCGUGGUAGUCCCAGCCGUAAACUAUGCGCGUUAGGUGUAUCGGUGACCACGAGUUACCGAGGUGCCGAAGGGAAACCGUGAAACGUGCCGCCUGGGAAGUACGGUCGCAAGGCUGAAACUUAAAGGAAUUGGCGGGGAGCACCACAACGGGUGGAGCCUGCGGUUUAAUUGGACUCAACGCCGGAAAUCUCACCGGAUAAGACAGCAGAAUGAUUGCCGGGCUGAAGACUCUGCAUGACUAGCUG
RNAcentral lists this ribosomal RNA (265 nucleotides) under uncultured archaeon. RNAcentral's name for it is "partial 16S ribosomal RNA". It matches the Rfam family "Archaeal small subunit ribosomal RNA", at positions 717 to 982 of the family's 1478-position model. The record is from RNAcentral.